UACGUAGGGGGCGAGCGUUGUCCGGAGUUACUGGGCGUAAAGCGCACGCAGGCGGUCUGUUAAGUUUGGAGUGACAGUUGGUGGCUUAACUGCCAAAGUGCUUCGAAAACUGACAGACUUGAGGGCUUCAGAGGGACACGGAAUUCCGAGUGUAGAGGUGAAAUUCGUAGAUAUUCGGAAGAACACCAGUGGCGAAGGCGGCUCACUGGACUGGUAUUGACGCUGAGGUGCGAAAGCGUGGGGAGCAAACAGGAUUGAGAA
RNAcentral lists this ribosomal RNA (261 nucleotides) under uncultured bacterium. Its description in RNAcentral is "partial 16S ribosomal RNA". It matches the Rfam family "Bacterial small subunit ribosomal RNA", at positions 524 to 784 of the family's 1533-position model. The record is from RNAcentral.